UACGUAGGUGGCAAGCGUUGUCCGGAUUUAUUGGGUUUAAAGGGUGCGUAGGCGGCCUUGUAAGUCAGUGGUGAAAUACUCCAGCUCAACUGGAGGGGUGCCAAUGAUACUGCAGGGCUUGAGUACAGAUGAGGUAGGCGGAAUGACGGUGUAGCGGUGAAAUGCAUAGAUAUCGUCAAGAACACCGAUAGCGAAGGCAGCUUACUGGGCUGUAACUGACGCUGAGGCACGAAAGUGUGGGGAUCAAACAGG
RNAcentral lists this ribosomal RNA (252 nucleotides) under uncultured bacterium. RNAcentral describes it as "partial 16S ribosomal RNA". It matches the Rfam family "Bacterial small subunit ribosomal RNA", at positions 524 to 776 of the family's 1533-position model. The record is from RNAcentral.